CUGGUUGAUCCUGCCAGUAGUCAUAUGCUUGUCUCAAAGAUUAAGCCAUGCAUGUCUAAGUCCAAGCUGUGUUCACACGGCGAGACCGCGGACGGCUCAUUAAAUCAGUCGUGGUCCAAAUGGGCCAGUGCAAAUCCUACUUGGAUAACUGUGGUAAUUCCAGAGCUAAUACAUGCAACUUAUAUCUCGAAGGCGAUGGUUGUGCUUGCUUGUCUUGCGCUCUCACUGCUCUGACGGAUGCUUUUAUUAGACCAAACCGCUGAGGACUUGGGGGUUCGCUCUCUUGUCUGACUCGUUAUAUGGUGACUCUGGAUAACCAAAUUAUGACAAGCGCACGUACUUCUCUUCUGAGCGAGACGGCGCUGCCACUUUCGAGUGUCUGCCUUAUCAGCUAUCAACCGUUCGUUAUGCGCGACCGAUGGCUUUGACGGGUAACGGGGAAUCAGGGUUCGAUUCCGGAGAGGCAGCCUGAGAGACGGCUACCACGUCCAAGGACGGCAGCAGGCACGCAAAUUACCCAAUCCCAGCAAAUGGGGGAGGUAGUGACGAAAUCUAACGAUGCGGGCGCCCUUUCUGGGGCCCCGCAAUCGGAAUGGGCACUUUCUAAACAACCUGUUGAGAACCUACUGAAGGGCAAGUCUGGUGCCAGCAGCCGCGGUAAUUCCAGCUUCAGCAGCAUCUAUUAAAGUUGCUGCGGUUAAAAGGCUCGCAGUUGAAUGUCUGUAUCGAGCGCAGGUCAGGUGGACGUU
This 749-nucleotide ribosomal RNA is filed under the name Gammarus lacustris. RNAcentral describes it as "bacterial SSU rRNA". It matches the Rfam family "Eukaryotic small subunit ribosomal RNA", at positions 4 to 670 of the family's 1831-position model. Lineage: Eukaryota; Metazoa; Arthropoda; Malacostraca; Amphipoda; Gammaridae. The record is from RNAcentral.